This is a long non-coding RNA of Engraulis encrasicolus (European anchovy), 801 nucleotides long. RefSeq lists it as uncharacterized. NCBI's taxonomy places the organism in Eukaryota, Metazoa, Chordata, Actinopteri, Clupeiformes, Engraulidae. The transcript is spliced from 4 exons. The record is from RefSeq and is a predicted model, not a curated record.
UUUGUUGACAGCAGAGACAGAGCUCGUUCGCCAGCGACUGAAUAAGGACAAACGGGAGAAUCCUAUGAAAGUUUCUAUUUAGUUGCAAUGGGGUUGAGUUUGCACAUAUCCAGGAUACAAAAAUAAAAUGUCAAGUCGGAUAAAGUACAGUUUUCACCGGCUUCCUCUCGGCAAUUGGGAUAUUUUGAAGCUGUGGUUCACUAGGACAUUGAACAUCCCACGCUUACAACCAUCUUACAAUGCUUGGACCAUCGGGUGUGUAAUACCCCUUUCUCCGCAAAGGACUUUAAUUCCAGGAAAAGAUGGCAAGGGGUUUCAACAACAGCAUACAAGAAUGAUAUGCCGCUGACCGCUGAGGAGCAUACUAAAUAGAGCGUUGCAUCCACAGAUGGCUGUGCCUACUGUGCAUCAGCAGUAUUCAUCGAUGGGAGGAAGAUGGUCCUCAGUACACCUGCCAACAUCCACCCUUGACUGAUGAGGAGCAAGAGAGAACAGCGGAUAGCACCAGAUCCCCCUGCCACUGCUUCUCACAUUGCAUGAUCCGAGUGUGUGCUGGAAGUCUAUCACCACAGCAGGAAUCCUGGAGGAGUUUCAUUCAGUGAUGCUGAAAUAUUUUAUCAAGAGACUGCAUGAUUCCACGCCAGCGUGCACAGUUUGUAGCCCUGGAUAAUGAAAAUGUUGGCAGACAGACAACAGGCUACCACUGAAGGUGAACUCUGUUGGGCGAAACCGUAUUCAAGACAACACAGAGGUUGUGUUUCAAAGCCCAUCUACGAGAAAACCACACAUGCCUUCAGGAAG